Salmo salar (Atlantic salmon) is the source of this 3099-nucleotide non-coding RNA. The record is from RefSeq and is a predicted model, not a curated record. NCBI's taxonomy places the organism in Eukaryota, Metazoa, Chordata, Actinopteri, Salmoniformes, Salmonidae.
AUCAUAGAACAGUAAACGCGCUACACGAGCGAGAAACGGAGGUGUAUGACAAGUUCUCCCUAUUUUGCGCCUGGACGUCCAAACGUUGAAGAGAAACAAAGUCAUAGUAAAAUACAUUUUAAAAAUCUAGACAAGGAAAGGGAGACCGUUUCAAGGAGGAAUGCUAACGGAUCACUUUGCACAGGCAAACGCUCACACCACUCUGAUCAAUUUGUAAUAACUCAGCCGCCGCUUUCACACGGUGAAGGCAAUGCGUAAAGUUGCUUUCAGAAGUUGGUGAAAGUUGUCAUCCUGGUGAGCAGAUAAUAGGACGGAGAUGUUCAGUCCAUUAUGGGUUUUCUAAUGUGGAUGUAGAAUAGAAAUCUUGGAAGAGUCUCCGGAUGACCGACGCAUUUUGGAUGUUACCUUUCUUUGGGGCUAUUCUCUGAGAUUCCUUAGAGGCGGAUGCAAUACAAAACAAUUAAAAAAGGAUUCCUCUCAGGUGGCACAUCUGCCAUGUUUGGAUGGAUUAGAUUUUUACUAUAACCAAGAUUAUCAAGAAAUUGUUGAAUUUUUUUUGUGGUUUUUCUUUAUUAUUGUGUCUGAUCCAAACGACAGCUGAAAUUUUAGUACAACUGUCCAACUCACCUUCGGAAUUACAAUCAUGAACAUUGGCAGUUUUGUACAAUUAUUAUUUGCAGUGCUGCUUCAGCUUCAUUUGUAUGCAGUUAAGACAGCCCACAUACCCAAGAACGGGGAGAAGAGUAAAAAUGAUGUGGUCCCGUUUAUGGACGUGUAUAACAAGAGCAUGUGUCGGACACGGGAGAUGCUGGUGGACAUCUUCCAGGAGUAUCCAGAUGAGAUUGAGCACACCUACAUCCCCUCGUGUGUGGUGCUCAUGCGCUGCGCCGGAUGCUGCAACGACGAGGCGCUCGAGUGUGUCCCCACGGAAACAAAAAAUGUUACCAUGGAGGUAAUACAAGUGAAACAGAGAGUAUCGCAGCAUAAUUUUCAGUUAAGUUUCACAGAACAUCGAAAGUGUGAAUGCAGACCAAAGCCAGAAGUUAAGGCAAAGAAAGAAAAGGGCAAUGACCAAAAGAGAAAGAAAGAGAGAGACACUGGCACGAUGAGGUCUGAGGCCUAUGCCAGCGCCUCUUCUGUGGCAUGUCUGCACAUGGGCACUAUGUCUCUCUUGAUGGUUGGCUUGAUUUUGGAGGAACUUGUUUGUAUCUUGUAAGACGCAAACCUCUUUUUGUUUGGCAUGAGGAGGCUCCAUUUUUUUUUAAGAAACCUUUUUUUUGUCUGGCGUACGUACUUAAGUCCAUGGCGAGGGCAGUAAUGUGAAGUUGACGUGAGUGAGAACUGUCAGCCACUGUGAGCCUUGCUCAGAGAGAAGAAAGCGCUUGUUUGUGCAGGACCCUCUCACCUGUAAAUGUUCCUGCAAAUUCACACAAUUAGACUGCAAGUCCAGACAACUUGAGUUAAACGAAAGAACUUGCAGAUGUGACAAACCAAGGAGAUGAGAUGAGGAGAGGGGGACAAUGAAAUGAAGGAAUAUUUUCUUGGCACAGCACUUUGAAACCUGAAAACGCAUUCCCUGGAUGGACAGAAAAUUACAACGCAAGAAAGAACGAGCAAGAGAGAACGAUGGAGAGAGACUGAGAUAACAACAUGCUGUUGUAUAUUUCUAAGAUAUAUAUUCUAAAAGGACAAUGACAAUGUGUAUUGCUGCUAUAAAAAAUGAGACGUUAUAAAGUGAACGAAUGCGCCACUGUCUGUAGUGUGAAUGGCACAAAUGUUUAGUUGCCAGGGUGUUUGGGCCUGAACGUGGAUAGGACUGAGAGUUUUUGUCAGAAUACAUUUUAUUUUAUGUAACACUUCACUGGAUGUUGGUCUGCUGUGGAUAUGAGUAUCUUAAAUAUAUCUAUAUAAAAACUAAGUGAAAUUGUGACCAUAACUUCACUGAGAGGUGCAACGGGAACAUGUUUCUCCUCAGACCUCUGAAGGUAUAGAGAACUGUCAGAAAGCAGAACUACUUCCUCUAUGGGGUGAAGUUUUUGUCACCACUGUAUUGACUAACACCAGAUAGGACUCGGUGUGAGAAUACUUCUAAAGGGAUAUUAAAUGUAGGUAUAUAUGGAGACGAGAGAAUACUGAACUUGAUUCCAUCUUCCGCCAAGGAACAGUUGCAUUCAACUCACCACUGUCAAAAUCAAUGAUCUUUAUUUGCUUUGUUUAAUGUCUUCAUUUGUUUUCCAAAGAUAUAAUUGCACACACAUAUUAAAGAAUAGUCCAUUAUGGAAAAAAUUAUCUGUAUAUACUUACCUAAUAUCCCUUUGUCUAGUACACUACAUCUAAUUUAUAAUGCUAGAAUAUCUUCAGUAUUCUGUGCAUUUAAUUUAUAUAUUUAUAUACAGUGUUAUGGUUGAUAUUGAUUUUACUUCCUCACCUGGCAAUGUUAUCACCAAUCUGUUUGGCCAUGGAAAACAUUGAAAACUGUAGACGUAUUUCUUUUUUUUUUUAAAGAAUGAAAAAAAGAACAGAAAGAUAAAACUUCAACAUUCCUGAAAAUGAGAUACUGUAUGUUUUGUUGGGCUAGAGGGGCUGGUAGCAUGUGUCUUGAUUUUGUUACAAACUAACCCUGCCACAAACAUGUUUGUGAAAAGACGCACAGCCAACGUUGCAGUUUUAAGCUCGAGUCAGGACAUGUGUUUUUGCACUUGAGUGCCCGAAGACACGUCAUGAGGAGGACUGAGGGCGUCUCACUAACCUUGGUCAUCUUGGGCAAACUCCACAGUGAGAGACACUCUGGCCAGCCCAGAUUAGCCAGAACAGGACUUGGCAUAGUGGGGAACCAGGAGCAUUAGAAGGAGACGAUGCUUUCUGCCCUUUUAUGAAAAAAAGAAACAUUCUAUUUGUAUUUCAGUGUCAGAAAUGCUUUUUUGUUUGUUGUAUCAUGUACAGACACAUUUUUAGUAUAUUUUCACAUUAAUAUAUUUAUUGGUGCUGUAAAAUUAUCCAUUUUACAAUAGUAACAUCUUUUUUUGUUUUUAGUGUAACUAUUAACUAUAUUUAUUUAGAAAAUAUAUUGUUUUUUAUUAAACAGAAAAUGCAGUUCUC